UACGAAGGGGGCUAGCGUUGCUCGGAAUCACUGGGCGUAAAGCGCACGUAGGCGGACUCUUAAGUCGGGGGUGAAAUCCUGGAGCUCAACUCCAGAACUGCCCUCGAUACUGAGAGUCUCGAGUCCGGGAGAGGUGAGUGGAACUGCGAGUGUAGAGGUGAAAUUCGUAGAUAUUCGCAAGAACACCAGUGGCGAAGGCGGCUCACUGGCCCGGUACUGACGCUGAGGUGCGAAAGCGUGGGGAGCAAACAGG
RNAcentral lists this ribosomal RNA (253 nucleotides) under uncultured bacterium. Its description in RNAcentral is "partial 16S ribosomal RNA". It matches the Rfam family "Bacterial small subunit ribosomal RNA", at positions 524 to 776 of the family's 1533-position model. The record is from RNAcentral.